RNAcentral lists this ribosomal RNA (425 nucleotides) under uncultured bacterium. RNAcentral describes it as "partial 16S ribosomal RNA". It matches the Rfam family "Bacterial small subunit ribosomal RNA", at positions 354 to 796 of the family's 1533-position model. The record is from RNAcentral.
GUGGGGAAUCUUGCGCAAUGGGCGAAAGCCUGACGCAGCCAUGCCGCGUGAAUGAUGAAGGUCUUAGGAUUGUAAAAUUCUUUCACCGGGGACGAUAAUGACGGUACCCGGAGAAGAAGCUCCGGCUAACUUCGUGCCAGCAGCCGCGGUAAUACGAAGGGGGCUAGCGUUGCUCGGAAUUACUGGGCGUAAAGGGCGCGUAGGCGGACAGCUUAGUCAGAGGUGAAAGCCCAGGGAUCAACCUUGGAAUUGCCUUUGAUACUGGCUGUCUUGAGUUUGGGAGAGGUGAGUGGAACUCCGAGUGUAGAGGUGAAAUUCGUAGAUAUUCGGAAGAACACCAGUGGAGAAGGCGACUCACUGGCCCAAUACUGACGCUGCGGCGCGAAAGCGUGGGGAGCAAACAGGAUUAGAUACCCGAGUAGUCC